GCCCUCCUUAUGCUCACCACAGGCUGUGCUCUCAUGCUGACUCUAUAUAGAAAGAAGGCAGAGUAAACCCACCCCGUUUGCCUAAGCCCAGGUCAUUGUGUCUGUAUUGUGAAUGGGGAUACAUGG
Molecule: small nucleolar RNA, 126 nt
Organism: Chionomys nivalis (European snow vole)
Lineage: Eukaryota; Metazoa; Chordata; Mammalia; Rodentia; Cricetidae
Product: small nucleolar RNA SNORA51
Exons: 1
Source: RefSeq, a predicted model, not a curated record